This 333-nucleotide ribosomal RNA is filed under the name uncultured bacterium. Its description in RNAcentral is "bacterial SSU rRNA". It matches the Rfam family "Bacterial small subunit ribosomal RNA", at positions 8 to 334 of the family's 1533-position model. The record is from RNAcentral.
AGGGUUUGAUUCUGGCUCAGGAUGAACGCUGGCGGCGUGCCUAACACAUGCAAGUCGAACGGACUUACAUUGAAGCCUAGCGAUAUGUAAGUUAGUGGCGGACGGGUGAGUAACGCGUGGGUAACCUGCCUUGUACUGGGGGACAACAGUUGGAAACGACUGCUAAUACCGCAUAAGCGCACAGCUUCGCAUGAAGCAGUGUGAAAAACUCCGGUGGUACAAGAUGGACCCGCGUCUGAUUAGCUGGUUGGUGAGGUAACGGCCCACCAAGGCGACGAUCAGUAGCCGGCCUGAGAGGGUGAACGGCCACAUUGGGACUGAGACACGGCCCAA